This 156-nucleotide non-coding RNA is filed under the name Oecophyllibacter saccharovorans. RNAcentral describes it as "6S / SsrS RNA". It matches the Rfam family "6S / SsrS RNA". From Rfam's summary of the family: E. coli 6S RNA was the first non coding RNA to be sequenced, but its function was unknown until recently. It consists of 184 nucleotides that fold into an extended hairpin structure with a large single-stranded internal bulge. Lineage: Bacteria; Pseudomonadati; Pseudomonadota; Alphaproteobacteria; Acetobacterales; Acetobacteraceae. The record is from Rfam by way of RNAcentral.
AUGGAGCUGCCUGGUUUGUCAGGCAAUUCAACCCCUGGGCCGAUAAGCACUUCCUAGGGAGCUGGCUCUGUCGUAACCCUGGUUACGGUAUCUGGCGCCCACCUGUCUAAGCAGGUCCUGGAGGUCGACAAGUCCAACGGCCAUGGUGGCUCCGCU